AUUGAACGCUGGCGGAAUGCUUUACACAUGCAAGUCGAACGGCGGCACGGACUUCGGUCUGGUGGCGAGUGGCGAACGGGUGAGUAAUAUAUCGGAACGGGCCCAGUCGUGGGGGAUAACGUAGUGAAAAUUACGCUAAUACCGCAUACGAUCUAUGGAUGAAAGUGGGGGAUCGCAAGACCUCGCGCGAUUGGAGCGGCCGUUAUCAGAUUCGGUAGUUGGUGAGGUAAAGGCUCACCAAACCGACGAUCUGUAGCUGGUCUGAGAGGACGACCAGCCACACUGGAACUGAGACACGGUCCAGACUCCUACGGGAGGCAGCAGUGGGGAAUUUUGGACAAUGGACGCAAGUCUGAUCCAGCCAUUCCGCGUGCAGGACGAAGGCCUUCGGGUUGUAAACUGCUUUUGUACAGAACGAAAAGGUCUCUAUUAAUACUAGGGGCUUAUGACGGUACUGUAAGAAUAAGCACCGGCUAACUACGUGCCAGCCGCCGCGGUAA
Molecule: ribosomal RNA, 500 nt
Filed under: uncultured bacterium
Lineage: Bacteria
Description: partial 16S ribosomal RNA
Rfam family: Bacterial small subunit ribosomal RNA
Source: RNAcentral